This 286-nucleotide long non-coding RNA is filed under the name Lathyrus oleraceus (garden pea). RNAcentral describes it as "Pisum sativum (pea) long non-coding RNA (PSAT_LNC002089)". Lineage: Eukaryota; Viridiplantae; Streptophyta; Magnoliopsida; Fabales; Fabaceae. The record is from RNAcentral.
AAAGGCUUCGCAAGAAGUGUCAUCUUGGAGUUGGGUCAUCGUCGGACAUGAUUCUAUAGAUCUAGUUUCUUUCUGCUUAUGAUCAUUGAAAUAUUUUCGAUUGCAAUCCUUUUUAUUAAUAAAAUGAGAUUUUAGUACAUUGGAAUGUGUUAUCAUUAUGUUUGCAACUUAUGUCUUAAAGUUCCUUGGAAAAUAAAUAAUAACAUUCCCAUUUUCAUUUGCAUAUCAUGCAUCAUGUUUCAUCUUGGUCUUGCUUUGAGCAAGUCGGUCAGGGGUCUUAUAUCUU